Molecule: long non-coding RNA, 886 nt
Organism: Juglans microcarpa x Juglans regia
Lineage: Eukaryota; Viridiplantae; Streptophyta; Magnoliopsida; Fagales; Juglandaceae
Exons: 4
Source: RefSeq, a predicted model, not a curated record
AAUUAAUCUCUUAUCUGCUAAAAACCAACUCUCUUAUAGCAGAGCGCUCUCUUCUCUAGCUUUCUCCCAUUUCUUUGCUUUGUUAUAUAUUAUAUUGAUACACACACCUACACACAUCUGUAAAGACUUGACGGCACCGAGACAAGACUGCUAGCUCUAAAAUGGCCAGCGUUCCAGUUCCUGCCCACCAUGGUCAACCGACAAGUGAAGUUCGUUGGUCAACUGGUCUUUUUGACUGCUGCUCUGACAUGCAUAGCUGUUGCUUGACAUUUUGGUGUCCAUGCGUUGCUUUCGGGCGGAUCUCCGAAAUUGUAGACAAAGGAUCCUCCUCUUGCUGUGGAAAUGGCUUGCUAUAUUUCCUCCUCCAGAGUUUAACUGGUUUUGGUUGUUUGUAAUCGUGCAUAUACCGUACUAAACUUCGAAAACUCUAUAUGUUGGAGAAGAGCCCUUGUGGGGGUUGUUGUGUUCAUUGUUGGUGCGAGUCUUGUGCCUUGUGUCAAGGACUCGAGUAUCGUGAGCUCCAAAACCAGGGCUUCGAUGUGUCUGCCGGAUGGGACGGGAACUCGCACAAGUACAAUCAAGGAGUGGCUAUGGCUCCAGUUGUGGAAGGAGGAAUGAAACGCUAGUACUGCAGAAGACGUACUUUUAAUGAAAAUAAGUUUAAUUGGCGACUGAUGGAGAACGCUAUAGCAUGAUAUGUUUAAUAAUAACUCUGAAGUCGUCCGUACGCUAUCUCGUACGCGGAAAAAUAAUCAUAUGUAUAUAUAUUUCCUACAAUAAUAAUUAGCCAAUUAUUGGCACUUCUAAUAUAUGUAAUACUCCUCUUGUACGACCUAUAGAUAGAUAUUGCAAUUUGCAGUGCUGUAAUAUCAUAUCGUUCUGAAUA